CCUACGGGUGGCAGCAGUGGGGAAUCUUCCGCAAUGGGCGAAAGCCUGACGGAGCCACGCCGCGUGAUCGAAUGAAGGCCUUCGGGUUGUAAAGUUCUGUUGUCCGGGACGAAUAAGCAAUGCGAAUAGUUUUGUGUAUGUAGGUUCCUGUUUAGAAUGCUCCGGCUCACUACGUGCCAGCAGCCGCGGUAAGAGGUAGGGAGCAAGCGUUGUCCGGAUUUACUGGGAGUAAAGGGCGCGUGGGUGGGCGGUUAAGUCAGGUGUGAAAGCUCCGGGCUCAACCUGGAGACUGCACUUGAUACGGGUUGUCUGGAGAGCAGUAGAGGAAGGUGGAA
Molecule: ribosomal RNA, 335 nt
Filed under: uncultured bacterium
Lineage: Bacteria
Description: partial 16S ribosomal RNA
Rfam family: Bacterial small subunit ribosomal RNA
Source: RNAcentral